GAUGAACGCUGGCGGCGUGCCUAACACAUGCAAGUCGAACGGAAAGGCCCUGCUUUUGCGGGGUUCUCGAGUGGCGAGGGGGUGUGUAACACGUGAGUAUCCUGCCCUUGACUGUGUGAUAACUUCAGGAAACUGCGGCUAAUACCGGAUAGGAGCUCCUGCUGCAUGGUGGGGGUUGGAAAGUUUCGGCGGUUGGGGAUCGACUCGCGGGUUACUAGCUUGUUGGUGGGGUAGUUGCCUAGCAAGGCUUCCACGGGUAGCCGGCCUGAGAGGGGGAUCGGCCACAUUGGAAGGGAGACAGGGUCCAGACGCCUAAGGGACGCAGCAGACGCGAACGGGAGGCAAUGGGCGAAAGUAUUACACAGUGAGCCGGAGUGUGAGACGACGGCCCUCGGAUCGGAAAGACCUCCUACGGGGUAUGAACCGCUGUCGGCUGAGACGUAGCGUUAGUGACGGUACUGAGUAAAGAAGCACCGGCUAACUACGUG
This 488-nucleotide ribosomal RNA is filed under the name uncultured bacterium. Its description in RNAcentral is "partial 16S ribosomal RNA". It matches the Rfam family "Bacterial small subunit ribosomal RNA", at positions 28 to 507 of the family's 1533-position model. The record is from RNAcentral.